RNAcentral lists this ribosomal RNA (621 nucleotides) under Salmonella enterica. RNAcentral describes it as "partial 23S ribosomal RNA". It matches the Rfam family "Bacterial large subunit ribosomal RNA", at positions 1 to 652 of the family's 2925-position model. Lineage: Bacteria; Pseudomonadati; Pseudomonadota; Gammaproteobacteria; Enterobacterales; Enterobacteriaceae. The record is from RNAcentral.
GGGUUGUGAGGUUAAGCGACUAAGCGUACACGGUGGAUGCCCUGGCAGUCAGAGGCGAUGAAGGACGUGCUAAUCUGCGAUAAGCGCCGGUAAGGUGAUAUGAACCGUUAUAACCGGCGAUUUCCGAAUGGGGAAACCCAGUGUGAUUCGUCACACUAUCAUUAACUGAAUCCAUAGGUUAAUGAGGCGAACCGGGGGAACUGAAACAUCUAAGUACCCCGAGGAAAAGAAAUCAACCGAGAUUCCCCCAGUAGCGGCGAGCGAACGGGGAGGAGCCCAGAGCCUGAAUCAGCAUGUGUGUUAGUGGAAGCGUCUGGAAAGGCGCGCGAUACAGGGUGACAGCCCCGUACACAAAAGCGCAUGUGUUGUGAGCUCGAUGAGUAGGGCGGGACACGUGGUAUCCUGUCUGAAUAUGGGGGGACCAUCCUCCAAGGCUAAAUACUCCUGACUGACCGAUAGUGAACCAGUACCGUGAGGGAAAGGCGAAAAGAACCCCGGCGAGGGGAGUGAAAAAGAACCUGAAACCGUGUACGUACAAGCAGUGGGAGCACCCUUUGGGGUGUGACUGCGUACCUUUUGUAUAAUGGGUCAGCGACUUAUAUUCUGUAGCAAGGUUAACCG